GUUUCUCUGUAUUCUUCUUCGGUAUAUGCGUACUCGUCGACCCUUGGGUCUGAUUUCGUUCUUUAUGCGACGAUAUCGGCGGUCUCCUUUGUCGUAGGGUGGAUAAGUUUAUUUUCCAAAUUCACUGGCGUUUCCGUGUUAUAUGAUACGGCGAUUUCGCGAAGGUAUUUCAACAGUUGUCGUAAGAAGUUUUUAUACGUACAGGGUGUCUCGUUCUAAUCGAUCCACGCAGAUAUCUUGUAGCUCAAGUAUACGUUAUUGGAAAGAGCGCGUGGAACGAAACUUGUGUCGCGUAAAGUUGAAGGUUGGGUGAUAAAAUAAAAUAGCUGGGUCGUGGCACAAUUAUCAAUUUUGCCUUUAUUAAACUUUAUUAUGGAUUCAGCAAUCACAAUGGAAUACACACUGAAUUAACACACAUAAAUCACAACUCACGCCAACAACUUUAUGUAAAACCCAGUUACACUGAUACGAUAAGUACGCGACCGGUCUAAGGGUAGAAACUGGGUAAAAGGUGUC
RNAcentral lists this unclassified non-coding RNA (516 nucleotides) under Bombus terrestris (buff-tailed bumblebee). Its description in RNAcentral is "misc RNA ENSBTSG00005032280.1". Lineage: Eukaryota; Metazoa; Arthropoda; Insecta; Hymenoptera; Apidae. The record is from RNAcentral.